Long non-coding RNA from Esox lucius (northern pike), 476 nucleotides. RefSeq lists it as uncharacterized. The transcript is spliced from 5 exons. NCBI's taxonomy places the organism in Eukaryota, Metazoa, Chordata, Actinopteri, Esociformes, Esocidae. The record is from RefSeq and is a predicted model, not a curated record.
UGCCACUUAAGUAACAAUGCUUUUGGGAAACGCACAGAUAAAAUAACGAGGCGCUUACGUGCAUCUUACAAUCAUCUUAGUGCUUUGGGAAACUGGGCCUAGAUUUGCUUCCUUCUGAUCUAAGUGUAGAUGUAGCCACAGGCAGCAUGAGAGUUCAAAGAAACAGGUAAAUUUAAUCCAGUGAACUGGAACAAAAUAAGAAACACAAAAAUAAUAAUAAGGACAAACAAUAAUCCACACAGACUGGGGAAAAAGGACAUAAUUUAAUACUCAGGAAAAUGAGGAAACUGGGCACAGGUCUUAGAACUGCCCUUCCCUGUGACAGGGGUGACCACUAUGUUGCUGAUUCGGUAUCCAAUGAAUGCACCAUUGAAGCGCACCAGGGAGUAGGCUCGGAUCCUUCUAACAUGCCAAGUUGUUCUAUACUUUCCAACUCUCUUGACUUUUGAAAGCAAGAGGUUGUCUACCAGGGCCCC